This 253-nucleotide ribosomal RNA is filed under the name uncultured bacterium. Its description in RNAcentral is "partial 16S ribosomal RNA". It matches the Rfam family "Bacterial small subunit ribosomal RNA", at positions 524 to 776 of the family's 1533-position model. The record is from RNAcentral.
UACAGAGGUCUCAAGCGUUGUUCGGAUUCAUUGGGCGUAAAGGGUGUGUAGGUGGCGCCGUAAGUCGGGUGUGAAAUUUCGGAGCUUAACUCCGAAACUGCAUUCGAUACUGCCGUGCUUGAGGACUGGAGAGGAGACUGGAAUUUACGGUGUAGCAGUGAAAUGCGUAGAUAUCGUAAGGAAGACCAGUGGCGAAGGCGGGUCUCUGGACAGUUCCUGACACUGAGGCACGAAGGCCAGGGGAGCAAACGGG